GGACUUGAAGCCUCGCUUCCAGAGCGUUUUUUUUUUCAUGUUGCAUGCGUGGUGUUAGCGUAUCAUUGAAGUGCAACGACUAGUAAAAGCAACAACGAUGGAGGUCGUCCACCAGCUCGUCUUUUUCUUGCUUUACUUUCAGUACAUCAUGUAUGACAGGAAUUUUAAAGAUUGCUGGAACCCGAUGGCUUACCAACAUUAGUUUGAAUGAGCGCUACAUUGGCGCUUUCUAACAUCGUCAUCACUUUCUGCCAAUCAACAGGUGGCUACAGAGGCUCUUCCCCAACUGUCCACUUUUCAAUGGACCUACAACCAGUGGGCGCCCCUAAGAGCGAGACAGGUGAGAGGAAACGGUGAGAUGAGUGCUGACCUGCUCUGGACAGGAACAGAGACAUGGCUCCCGACCCGGAGCCCGACUCCAACACGCAGUCUCCCUCUGCGACGUCCAUCAUCAUCAGCAUGUUUGCAGCAUCCUAAGAAAACAGGAUUUUACGUUAGCAGGAAGCAGCCUGCAGGCUGUCCAGCAAUGUCGUCAUGCAGAAUGAUCCCCCAGCUGCUCUGCAGCCGAGAACCCGCCUCCAGCUGGAACAUCUUUCUGAACUCCACCCGAAUUUUCUUUCGAUACUCCGCUAUGACAAGUUCC
Molecule: long non-coding RNA, 643 nt
Organism: Oryzias melastigma (Indian medaka)
Lineage: Eukaryota; Metazoa; Chordata; Actinopteri; Beloniformes; Adrianichthyidae
Exons: 3
Source: RefSeq, a predicted model, not a curated record